CUUUAGUACGGUCUUUUUGCCUAGGCGUCGUUGAACGUGCCGGGGUGGAAGGAAGGAGAGGAGGGCACACGAAGGAAGGGGUAGCGGCGCUCAGCUGGGCCGGAGACCAGCAGAGGGCGCGAUGACGUUCGGCGGCGGGUGGAGGAGACGGCCUGCGGUACCGGUAGCUCGUUUCGAGGCAGCCUGGAAGGGCUGGUCUAGCUGCUACUGCUGUUCGCCUAGACGGGGGGUGCUUCUCCAUCUUUCGUGCCCCCUCCGCCGCCGCCGGGGUCACCCGCGGCUGCUUCGGGCGGUCGCGGCGGUCCUCCUACUCGGGCGGAUCCUACCUGUGCCCGGUCGCGCUUGAGGUUGGGGGCGGGUAGGGGUACGCAUGCGCUAGUCUGGGGGCUCCGCUACUGCCCCUGCUGCGUCUACAGGCGCAGUGCGGGUGGCACUACAACCCCUAGUGGGGGUACAGACCUACGAGUUCGACACGAUGACGACGACUGGGUCUGACAUAUGUAUGAACACGAUACUUCGGUGUACUUAAGAAGGUUCUACUAGAUUGGUUCACUUUAGCAACUAAACCACUAACUGAAGAGCCGAAGUACCACACCCGGGACGGUUGCGUAGUUUGGCCGGAACUCUACCGGGGACGAAGGAGCUGCGGUAGUGGUGCAGUUGUUCGAGUCCUAACCUUUGUAACUGGGACUGACAUCUAACCGGAAGUUGAGAUACUACCCAACAAAAAAAUCUCCUGAUACUACCUAACAAAUUCCGUGAUGAUUGGAGAACAUGUACACACGUAUAACCCUGUUACUACUAAAAAGAACCCCUAUUUAAUAACGGCUCCUCCAACUCGUCUCUAUCAAUCCACCUUGUAUGCCUCUGAUUAUACAGGUGGUUUUACAACUCAUUGUAGAACUCCCACCCCAACUCGCAGUACUGGCUCCUGUCGUACCCGUUAACUAAUCGACGAACAUCGGCUGAUGAACUACUCCAAAUACUGUAGUGGUUAGUGUAUUCGUGAAUGGUAGUCCACACGUAACUGGGAACUCUUCCGAACUUGUUGUAGUAUAACCGAACACUAACAGAGAGGCGCCAACUCGCGUGGUUAAGGAGGUGAUAGCUGGUUAACGACCAACCACAGCCAUACCUCCUAUAGUUUCGGUACAGUACGAGAAACCGUAUUCACUGAACAAGAGUGUAAUCAUAGAAUCGAGUAGCUAAACUUGAAAAACAUACAAGAGCUCACGUGGUCACAGUUAAAAACAUCUACCUCUGCACGCAACGUGCACGUGUAAAUGAUCAUUAAUAUCUAUUCCUGAAAACCGAAUUCGGAGGAAAUAGAGAACAAUUCUGUACAGAAGAGACAGCAAGAAGAACUGUGUGC
RNAcentral lists this ribosomal RNA (1372 nucleotides) under Triticum aestivum (bread wheat). Its description in RNAcentral is "partial small subunit ribosomal RNA". The record is from RNAcentral. Lineage: Eukaryota; Viridiplantae; Streptophyta; Magnoliopsida; Poales; Poaceae.